Portunus trituberculatus (swimming crab) is the source of this 449-nucleotide long non-coding RNA. RefSeq lists it as uncharacterized. The record is from RefSeq and is a predicted model, not a curated record. The transcript has 2 exons. Lineage: Eukaryota; Metazoa; Arthropoda; Malacostraca; Decapoda; Portunidae.
AAAAAAACAGUCACCGCAACACACGAGCAACACAGGAGAGUAAACCAGCGUAACCUGAGCGCCAGAGAACCAGGACAUUCCUCAGUGCCAUGGGGUGCCAGUGCCGCGCCUCUACCCGCCCUGGCACGGUAUCACGCAGUUCAAAGCUUAAUAGUUUUGACAUACAGAAAUAAAAUGAAAUAAAUGUAAACGAUAAUUAUUCGUGUGCAUUCGUGUGUUAGUCCGCCACUUUCCCGCGGCUCCUACUGCUUGCGUGCGGACGUGCGUGCAGUGAUGGCGUACUGGGACGGCAACCUUUCGUGCGUGCUGUGUCUCAUCCUCACCAGCACUCUGCUCGUGCUCAUCCUGUACGCCCUCUUCAUGGUAGUCGUCUUUACUACUGCCAGUGAAGGAACACACACACACACACACACACACACACACACACACACACACACACACACACUCAC